Molecule: long non-coding RNA, 1110 nt
Filed under: Cyanistes caeruleus (blue tit)
Lineage: Eukaryota; Metazoa; Chordata; Aves; Passeriformes; Paridae
Description: lncRNA (ENSCCEG00000017491.1)
Source: RNAcentral
AUGCAUCACCAGCAGCGCAUGGCAGCGCUGGGGACGGACAAGGAGCUCAGCGAUUUGCUGGAUUUCAGCGCGGUAAGGACCCAAACACACCAAAAACUGGGGACGGACAAGGAGCUCAGCGAUUUGCUGGAUUUCAGCGCGGUAAGGACCCAAACACACCAAAAACUACCCAAAAAACAACCAAAAAUACCUCCAAAACAACCAAAAACACCCCAAAAACAACCAAAAACAACCAAAAACAACCCCAAAAACAACCAAAAACACCCCAAAAACAACCAAAAACAACCAAAAACAACCCAAAAAUACCCAAAUACACCCCCAAAACAAACAAAAACAACCAAAAACACCCCAAAAACAACCAAAACAACCAAAAAUACCCAAAAAACACCAAAAACAACCCCAAAAAUACCUCCAAAACAACCAAAAACACCCCAAAAACAACCAAAAAUACCCCAAAAACCACGCAAAAACAACCAAAAACACCCCAAAACAACCAAAAACAACCCCAAAAAUACCCCAAAAACACCCCAGAAACAACCAAAAACAACCAAAAACAACCCCAAAAAUACCCAAAAACCACCCCAAAAAUACCCAAAAAACACCAAAAACAACCAAAAACAACCCCAAAAAUACCCAAAACCACCAAAAACAACCAAAAACACCCCAAAACACCCAAAAACACCCAAAAACAACCAAAAACAACCCAAAAAACAACCAAAAACACCCAAAAAACAACCAAAAACACCAAAAAACACCCCAAAAAUACCCAAAAACAACCAAAAACACCCAAAAAUAACAAUAAAAAACACCCAAAACCACCCCAAAAACAACCCAAAAACACCCCAAAAAUAUCCUAAAACACCCAAAAAUACCCAAAAAACACCCCAAAACACCCCAAAAAUACCCCAAAAACACCUCAAAACCCCCCAAAAACAUCACAAAAACACCCAAAAACCACACAAAAACCACCCAAAACCACCCCAAAAACACCCCAAAAAUACCCCAAAAACAUCCCAAAAAUACCCAAGAAACACCCAAAAAACACACAAAAAACAUCCCAAAAACCACACAAAAACACCCAAAAACACCCCAAAAACACCCAAAAAAUAA